This 402-nucleotide ribosomal RNA is filed under the name Fusobacteriota bacterium. RNAcentral describes it as "Fusobacteria bacterium partial 16S ribosomal RNA". It matches the Rfam family "Bacterial small subunit ribosomal RNA", at positions 355 to 776 of the family's 1533-position model. Lineage: Bacteria; Fusobacteriati; Fusobacteriota. The record is from RNAcentral.
UGGGGAAUUUUGCACAAUGGGGGAAACCCUGAUGCAGCGACGCCGCGUGAUUUAGAAGGCCUUCGGGUUGUAAAAAUCUUUUCUAUGGGAAGAAAAUGACAGUACCAUAGGAAUAAGGACCGGCUAAUUACGUGCCAGCAGCCGCGGUAAUACGUAAGGUCCGAGCGUUGUCCGGAAUCAUUGGGCGUAAAGGGUACGUAGGCGGGUAAGCAAGUUAGAAGUGAAAUCCUAUAGCUCAACUAUAGUAAGCUUUUAAAACUGCUCAUCUUGAGGUAUGGAAGGGAAAGUGGAAUUCCUAGUGUGGCGGUGAAAUGCGCAGAUAUUAGGAGGAAUACCGGUGGCGAAGGCGACUUUCUGGCCAUAACCUGACGCUGAGGUACGAAAGCGUGGGUAGCAAACAGA